RNAcentral lists this long non-coding RNA (301 nucleotides) under Olea europaea subsp. europaea. The record is from RNAcentral. Lineage: Eukaryota; Viridiplantae; Streptophyta; Magnoliopsida; Lamiales; Oleaceae.
AAAAAAAAAAAACCCUCUAAUUUGAAUAUUAAUUUGUCUAAAACUCUAUAUUUUAACCAUAAGAAAUCAAGAUUGAUUCAUACUUUUUGGCCUUUCGCUUUACAUCGACUUGUUGCAUUUCAGAUGUUAGUAGAUGUUAAUCUUUACAAUUUGAGCUUUCUAUGAAUCACAGAAUUCAAACUACAUUGUGGUGUUAAUUGAUGAAAAUCAAAGUGUUCAUUCUUUGCAAUUAGAAAUUUCUUCAUUUUUUGGCAUUGUUUAUAAUCUUAAGUGAAUUUUUUAUUUUUUAUUUUUUUAUAAC